Molecule: long non-coding RNA, 2037 nt
Organism: Leopardus geoffroyi (Geoffroy's cat)
Lineage: Eukaryota; Metazoa; Chordata; Mammalia; Carnivora; Felidae
Exons: 2
Source: RefSeq, a predicted model, not a curated record
AAAAAAAAAAAAAAAAAAAAAGACACACCCAGAGCCAAACAAAGUUGGGUUUUUUGAUGCGAUUCAUAAAAACAUGCAUCACGGGGGACCGUGUGGCAUCCCAGGAAGGAGGUACUGUAAAGGACCUUAAGGAGUUGGGGUGGGUGAUAUGGUGGAGUGGGGGCUCCAAGAAGCAGGGCCGUGCUCUGGCUUGACUGCUGUCAGGAAGCAGAGAUGAUUCCACUCCUGGAUCUCAAUAAUUGUUAUCCAGGAAGCAGGACAAACCAUAUGAGGUUAAAGUAGUGACUGGAAGAGAAGAUGCCGUCUCUCGUGUUAGCCAGGAUAGGGGAUGUUGGAUCGUUUUUGUGGUUCGAAUGCGCUCCUGUUUUUGUCUGAGCAGACCUGAUUACCAGCGCUGUUGUUUUUGUCUUGGUCCAGCACAGACACAAGGUGACCUGGCCUGAUGGUUCUGUGAAAUCGGUGUUCAGUAGGGCCAGCUGCGAGGGCCAGGCCAGCCCCACCUGCCAGGGGCUGCUGUCUUCUCACCAUUCAUCCAUGUGCUUAUCUCUCAAACACAUAAUACAGUGUGCUGUCUCUGUGACGGACACUCAGUGAUUUACAAGCCCAAGUUCAUUUAAUCAGAUGCCACCCUAGAACCCUCCCUCACCUCAGGUGCCGUGUCACCCUUGUCCUGGCUUCUCUCCGCAGCCUCCUGCGGGCUGGUAUCUGUGUGCUCCAUGAGGACAGGGCCUUCUGUUUUUUUGGCUGUGGUAUCCUCAUUGCCUGGAACCUAGCAGGCAAUGCUAGCCUAGCAUCAAGGAACCUAGCAUCAACUUUGUUGAUGAUGCUGACGUUUAAUUAAAGAAUGUGUUGUCUGUAUGAUACAUACAUGCCUGGCCAAAUCACACCUGGUCUCUUCCAGUAGAAAAUUUCCAAAGCUCUGAUUCCCAGGGCCACUGUUCUAAAAGACAAUUAGCGGUACUCCCAUCCACCCCCCCCCAUUAUCCAUCCAUCCAUCCACUCAUCCAUCCUUUCAUCCACUUGCACAUCCAUCCACCUGAGCACACAUCCAUCCACCCACCCACCUGACCAUCCAUCCAUCCAUCCAUCCAUCCACCAUCUAUCUACCCAUCCACCUGCACUAGUUUUUAUUGGUUUGUACAUAACUUAUUCGAAAGUGAAUAUCUUUAGAAAGUUUCCCCCAAAUAAGUUUUCCUUUCUUGUUUCUCCUUCUCCGUGUGUUUACUGGGCUGCUAUGUCAGGUGCUUUGCUAACUAACACCUGGCUGGGCCCGUGGGUCCGGGAGGCAACACUGGCGUCCUGAGCGCGAGGUCCCUCCGCCCAGGAAGUGCAGGAGACAGCCCGGCAUAGGAUGACCUGGGGCGGGGGGCUGUAGGGAGGGGAAGAGGACUUGGGAUCCGCACAGGGGUACCGCGAGCCGCACCAGCCACCGCCGCGACUACAGGGCAGAGAGGGGGCGGUACCUGGAGGGAGUGAUGGGGCGGGGCUGGGGCUGGGCAGGGCCUGGCAAGGGGUGACGUGACUGACGUGGCGCAGCGAGAGGGCACAGGCGGAAGGGGCGUGGCCAAUGCGGGUGAGGGGCGGGGCUAGGCGGCCUGUAGUUUAGACUGGGCGAGGCCUCCGAGGAUAGCGCGGGUGGAGCCAGACUAAAACAAUGACAAAAGCGAAUUUCCUCCAGUGUCCUUGAUGUCGAAAUCUGCAGUUCUACCAUGUUUUGAACUGGACUGGUAGCUCAGAUUGGACUCAGAUGAGGACUGUGGAUUCCAUUGUUUUGUUUUGUUUUUUAACAUUUUUAAUUUAAUUUGAACUUAAUCAUGCAGGGAAAUGUACACUUUUUGCUAAACAGUGAUAAUCAUAUAACCACCACCGUGAUCAAGAUGCAGAAUAAUUCUGUUCACCCCCCAAAAUUCCCUCAUGCUGACCCUUUGUGGUUUGUGCCUCCCCCUACACCCCUACACACAUCCCUGACGAUGCCCCCUCCAUCCCUAAAGUUUUGUCUUUGCAUGAAUAUCAUAUAAAUGGAAUCAUCAUACAGUA